Sinocyclocheilus grahami is the source of this 1795-nucleotide long non-coding RNA. NCBI's taxonomy places the organism in Eukaryota, Metazoa, Chordata, Actinopteri, Cypriniformes, Cyprinidae. The record is from Ensembl.
ACCAUCUUCUCCUUUCUAGCAGAGAGACUAUUUACAGUUAUAGAACUGCUUCGGUUGAUACAGAAUGCUUGUUUAGAUUUACUAAAAGACAGGGGAAAUAGGCAAGCAUUAGAAAAAACUGCAAUGGAAGACUAUUACAGGAAACAGAAUGACAGUGUUUGGUUGAACGUCACAGAUUUGUCUUUCUUGUAAUAAACCAAGUCUUUGUCUUUCUUUGUUUUCAAAGUAGCAGGAAAAUCAGGGUUUGGACGGUCAAAAUUCAGUUUUAAGCCAUCUGGAGUCAUCUUCUUUCUGCUAGCAUUGUCAAGUGUUUGACCGUGUGCUUUUGAGAAGAUGAGUAAGUGUAAGAAAGAGUUGAGUGAGAGAGAGAGAGAACGGCUGCUCGUCCGCAGGGCCAGCGGAGACAACGCCUCUCAGCUGGUUCAUAUGGAAAAGAUGCUACAAGAAACCAAAGGCCUGCUGGAGAAGAAGACAGAGACGGAAUCAGAAAGCAACGCCUGUGGCGACACUUUGGUGUCUGAUCUGGAGCAGAAGGUCCAGCGCAGCAAGCGAGACCGUCGUAACUCCCUCCACCGCACACAGCUGCUGGAGAGUCAGAUGAAGACGGUUCGCGGUGAGCUCGUGGGCACGCUUGACCACCUGCAGGAGCUGCGCAACAUACUGCGACGCUCACAGCAGAACGCCGAAGAGCGGGAAGCAGCCAUGCAAAAACUGGCCGCAGGGCUGAGGUGAGACGCCACCUGUCUGCCUGCAGUUCAUGGGUUACCACAUCCAUUCAUCCCAUCAUAAGGACUUUUAAGCAUUGUUCAUCUGAAAUAUCUAUUAGACUGCACAUCCAGAAUGAUGUCAUUUUUCACAUUGGCUCAUAUACAGUCCUGUGCAGCCAGAUGCUGUUGUAAUAUCUAUGUUAAAUGAUUAAAGCAUGCCACAAUUCUUUACAAGGCAUGUUUUUACUCUCCAAAGAUAGAAGCAGUUCUACCAUUUUGGUUGAUGAGAACUCUGAUGUCUCUGGAAGCAUCCUGUUUUUAUUUCCUGUUGUUAGCAUAAUGCAGCCUUAAACCAUAAUUUUCAAUUAUAUAUAGCUAGACAAGUACAUAGACAUCCAUUGAAUGCCUUGUUAACUUGUCAAAUAAAUUUCACACCCUGUCACAUCUGACAGAUUUAUUGUGCCAAUUUAUGCAUGAUGGCUUUCAGGCAAGUGUUUAGUUUGGUUUAUUUUUCUUCACAGGAUUUGUUUUGUAAGGCCACAGACUGUGCGAUGACUUGUAUGUGAGUUGUUUGGUAUCAGCAAGGUCCGACAUUUCAUGAUAUGGAUGCUUUAUUCCCUUAUAUUCAUAGGUUCAUCUGCUUUUAUUAUUUAAUUUAUUAUAAUGAUUAUUCCUGUGAACUUCUACAUGAUGAUAACAACAUUCAUAUUAAUCACCCAUUCACUAAUGCAGGUGAACUUUGAAGAAUGUGUGUGUCUGGGCACUCUAUGAUUUUGUUCAUUAAAACAUUGGUAUGUCCUCCAGGUUGUACUUUAUGAAAAGAAAACAGAAACAUUAUAUCCAUUUCAGUUGUGGAUUUCCUCCCCAUAUCCUAAAGAUCACUUUUUCAUGUUGCUUUCGGGAGCUUUAGAAUAAGAUUCAAUUCUAAAUCUGCUUUUCAGAUCUUCCGCUUUGAGUGAAGUUCUCGCAGACUUUGCGUCCUCAUGCCAGCCUUGCUUGCGAGGUAUAACACCACUGAUCUGUCCUCAGUUUGCCUUAUGUACAGUAUUUUACCCCUAUUAAAUAUGUUUAAAGUCUACUGAAGUUGC